CGAUUCUUGGUUCUAACCGUGCACCCCUGCGCGAUUGUAAGACCUUGGAUCUGGGAGCCUGAAACCUGCUUCCCUUUGAGCUCAGAUCCGUGGCUCCUCCCUCCAGGGCUCACCACUGCCCUGUGCAGCAGCCUUGGAAUCCUCCAAUAAAGCAGCCUUCUCUCGCCCUGGAGCCAGCUUCCUGCCCAGAUCCCUUGUUCUAGGCUGUCCCCCAGCCCCACGUGGCUCCAGUUCCACACCCUAAGCAUUUCUAUGAAUCUGGGCCUUGUUGGAUGUUUAUUUGUGGGGUGUGAAUCCCCAGGGGAAACAAAGCUGGGCGUGCAUGCCAAUGUCCUUGUCAGUCUUGGAUCCUGGGCCUCCAAGGGCUCCGUUGUAGCCUUCAGUGUCCACAAAGCACUGGUGUGAGGUUGAGACAGGUGAAGAGCAGGCAGAGGGACUCAGCCUCGCCUCAGAUCCACAGCCUGCCCAGGAGGAAGCCUGAAGCACACUGUGGGUGAGGUCAGAUCUUGGCAGAGUAUCCGGAUGCCUCGCAAAGCCAGCUUCCCCAGCUGGGUCUGGAAUGGGGUCCACAGUGCCCCUCCAAAUAUGGUAGUUUUACUGGUUUUACCCAAUCUUGGCAACCUCCAGAGCCCGUGCAGCCAAAUCUGUGGCUUUGAAUAUGAGAAUCACCUCAACCAGCAUUCUUUCUAAGGCAACGUGUGAAGAGGCGCACACACAGCAGCUGCAGAGAGAGGAUGAACGAGGCUGAGUCCCGUUAAGAGAUAAGCGUUCUGCAUACACCGUAGCUGGCUGGUGGACAGGGUGGUGAUCCAGAAAACCCACAUUUAAACCAUCCAGUGAUCCCCUUCCUCAGAGCUGACCGUCCCACAAAAUGGAAGUCUUUCCAGCUGGAGCGGAAAGUCACUUCAUCUUUUCUUCCCUGAGGUGGAUACAACGUGUUUCGGGCAGGUGAGAGUGGUUUUGGAGGCGAAGGGACUCCUAGCAGUGAAUUUAACUGCAGCACUGACACUCUGACCCCCUCCCUCCCCAGAGGAGCAGCAGCAAGGUCUAGGAAGACGCUAAAGAUCCCAAGCAAGAUCCUUUCAGAAAUUCACCAGUGAGCUUCCCAUUGUAGCUGGUUCAGUGAAGGGUUACGUUUCCUCAAUGCAGUGUCAGGAAAGACUGUCCACCAAGUUACUACCAACCUUACACAAGAAACAGACUUUCUAGACAACAGGAAAGGAGGAAGGAGGGUAGGAGGAAGGAAGGAAGGAGAUAGGAAAGAGUCAUUUAUUAAUAAUUGGCUAUACAAGGAUCAAAAGCAAUUUCCCCAGUGAUAAGAAUGCCAGCUUGCCUUGGAACUUAGCCCCGAAGCCCUCGUUCAUCCUUAAGUCAUUUGCCUUCCAUAUUUACCAGUUCUCAAGGACAUUGCUUUUUUCUGCUCAACGACCAGUGAGCCUCGUGAGGUAUGUUCUCAGCCCUACUGUGGUACCAUGCCAUGGCCGAGGAUGGGCAUCCUGGAGCCGUCCGUGUCACCCACCCAGCAAUGGCUCCGGAACUUCUGCCUCUUGGCCUGCAGAGGAGGGGUGCUUGAACUUCAGUUAGGCAGCCCCCUCCCCUUGGAGCAGACACAGCACAGAGCACACGAGGAGGCCAUGCUGUAACUAAUAACAAGUAGCUACGGGUGUCAUUGUCCUCGAUUCCUGGCAUGGAAUCCCCAAGCUCAUAACUCCAGAACAAUAGAGAAGCCUCUUCUGCCCAAACAUGUCACCUUUGACCCAGUCCCUGGUACAGAACUUCUGAAUCCCUUGGGAUGCCCUGGGCUACAGAGCAUCUUUUGUCCUAGGGACCUUUUUUUAUUGUUUUGUUUUGUUUUUUGUUUUGUUUUGUUUUGUUUUUUGCUUUGUUUGUUUGUUUGUUUGUUUGUUUUUGCUGGUCACCACGUGAGAACAUUCAGCUUUACCCCACAUCUUCCAGCAAGUGAAGGGGACUGGAGACUGACAUCAUAGUUGAUUGCAUCUUCAUGGUAGAGCCUCCAUAAAACAAUUUCCCCUCAAUAGUGGGGCUUGGGGUGCUUCCGUGCAUGCUGGGAGGGUGUUACGCUUAACGGGGCAUGGGACCUUCCCACCCCUUCCCUCGUACCUUGCCUUGUAUACUCAGGCUCUUCCUGAGUUGUAUCCUUUCGUAAUAGGUUGGGUGAGUCAGGAAAGCGUCUCUGUGACCUCUGUGAAGUAAAGGAUGGAUCCCAAAAGGAUUGUGAGAGCCUUGGAUUUGCAGCCAAAUCAGACAGAGGGGAAAUGCAGCCUGGAAAUGCACAGUUUCUUCCCAAAUCUAAGGAAGUCUGGCAAGACUGAGAGCCCUCUUGUUUCUUUGCAUCAUUUUAUUUUAUUUUAUUUUAUUUUAUUUUAUUUUUGCUACUGUUGUUUUGGAGAUAAGGUCCCAAGUGGUCUAGGCUGACUUUGAACUGGUUAUGUGGCCAAGGUUGACUCUGAACUCAUGAUAGAGGUAUAGAUAUCUUUGACUCCGUUUCCCAAGUGCUUAGAACACAGGUAUGCCCCAUUCCACUUGGCAAAGCCAAGAUUUACACUUGUGGGAUCUGAUGCUAUCACCAGGUAGAUGUUGUCAGACCUGAAUUGCAUUGUGGGACACCCAGCUGGUCACAGAAGAUUGAUGAAUGUGAAGAAUCUACAUCUGGCCACAAAAGAAUCCCGUGUUGGGAAGCCCAGGGAACAGAAACAGGCAUGGGGUCUCUUGCCUCUCAAGACACUAGGCUGGUGCUCUCUAGAGACCUGUGCGGGAGCAACAUCUGUCCGGAGACCUUGAAGCCGCAUUCCAUCAAAGAUUCUCUAAAACAGUAAGUCCAAUACAGGAGCCACCAGCUGGCAAUCACUUGACACAUGGCCACUGGAUGUGCUAAAUGUAAAAAGUGCACAUGCUUUGAAGGACAUGUGGAAUGAAACAUUCAAAGCAGCUCCGUAAUAAUUGUUUUUAACAUCGAUUAUGCUAAACUGGUAAUAUUCUUCUUUUACUAGUUAAAUAUAUUGUUUACAUUAUUCUUAUUGUAAAAUACAUAUGGUGUAAGCUUAUCAUCUUUUUAAAGGUGUUUUAUUUCUAAUUAUGGGGGUGGCUAGGAAGCAUAUAUUAAUUAGUGCAAGUGCCUGUGGAGCCCAGAAAAGGGCCUCGGAUCCCCUGGAGUUACAGGUGGCUGUAGAACACCUGACACAGGAACUGGGAACUGAACUCAAAGCCUCUGCAAGAGCACUACCUGCUCUGCCACUGAGCCAUCCAUCUCUCCAGUCUCCAAGCCUGCCACCUUCAAGAGUACAGAGCCGUAUUGUUCCAGACAUCCCUACUGGUAUGUUACCACCACUACCAUCCCGCCACAGAACUUCUCAAACCAAAUCUCUGAACCCAAAUAAACAACAAGUCUGUC
Mus musculus (house mouse) is the source of this 3412-nucleotide long non-coding RNA. RefSeq annotates it as predicted gene 29590. The transcript is spliced from 2 exons. The record is from RefSeq and is a predicted model, not a curated record. NCBI's taxonomy places the organism in Eukaryota, Metazoa, Chordata, Mammalia, Rodentia, Muridae.